Molecule: ribosomal RNA, 595 nt
Filed under: uncultured Bacteroidota bacterium
Lineage: Bacteria; Pseudomonadati; Bacteroidota
Description: bacterial SSU rRNA
Rfam family: Bacterial small subunit ribosomal RNA
Source: RNAcentral
CAACCUGCCGUCUACUCUUGGACAGCCUUCUGAAAGGAAGAUUAAUACAAGAUGGCAUCAUGAGUUCACAUGUUCACAUGAUUAAAGGUAUUCCGGUAGACGAUGGGGAUGCGUUCCAUUAGAUAGUAGGCGGGGUAACGGCCCACCUAGUCUUCGAUGGAUAGGGGUUCUGAGAGGAAGGUCCCCCACAUUGGAACUGAGACACGGUCCAAACUCCUACGGGAGGCAGCAGUGAGGAAUAUUGGUCAAUGGGCGAGAGCCUGAACCAGCCAAGUAGCGUGAAGGAUGACUGCCCUAUGGGUUGUAAACUUCUUUUAUAAAGGAAUAAAGUCGGGUAUGCAUACCCGUUUGCAUGUACUUUAUGAAUGAGGAUCGGCUAACUCCGUGCCAGCAGCCGCGGUAAUACGGAGGAUCCGAGCGUUAUCCGGAUUUAUUGGGUUUAAAGGGAGCGUGGAUGGAUGUUUAAGUCAGUUGUGAAAGUUUGCGGCUCAACCGUAAAAUUGCAGUUGAUACUGGAUAUCUUGAGUGCAGUUGAGGCAGGCGGAAUUCGUGGUGUAGCGGUGAAAUGCUUAGAUAUCACGAAGAACUCCGAUUG